This 253-nucleotide ribosomal RNA is filed under the name uncultured bacterium. RNAcentral describes it as "partial 16S ribosomal RNA". It matches the Rfam family "Bacterial small subunit ribosomal RNA", at positions 524 to 776 of the family's 1533-position model. The record is from RNAcentral.
UACGGAGGGGGCUAGCGUUGUUCGGAAUUACUGGGCGUAGAGCGCACGUAGGCGGCUUUGUAAGUUAGAGGUGAAAGCCCAGGGCUUAACCCUGGAAUUGCCUUUAAGACUGCAUCGCUAGAAUCGUGGAGAGGUGAGUGGAAUUCCGAGUGUAGAGGUGAAAUUCGUAGAUAUUCGGAAGAACACCAGUGGCGAAGGCGACUUACUGGACACAUAUUGACGCUGAGGUGCGAAAGCGUGGGGAGCAAACAGG